UCUGGUAUGAAAGGUUUGACGAGAUAUUAACUGUUUCAUAUAAAUUUAUAUUAGAAUUUUAUUUUUUAGUUAAAAAGCUAAAAUUUAUUUAAAAGACGAGAAGACCCUAUAAAUCUUUAUAUUUAAAUUAUUAUAAUUUUGUAGAAUUUUUUUAUUUUAAUAAUUAAUAAUAUUUUAUUGGGGUGAUAUUAAAAUUUAAUAAACUUUUAAUUUUUUUUAUCAUUAAUUAAUGAAUAAUUGAUCCGUUAUUAACGAUUAAAAAUUUAAGUUACCUUAGGGAUAACAGCGA
RNAcentral lists this ribosomal RNA (289 nucleotides) under Hydrotaea chalcogaster. Its description in RNAcentral is "partial 16S ribosomal RNA". The record is from RNAcentral. Lineage: Eukaryota; Metazoa; Arthropoda; Insecta; Diptera; Muscidae.